AGAUCUACACUUUGCCAUACACGAGCCCCGCCGUCUUGCAUACGAAAAGCAUGGAAUGAUGGAAAAUGGCCUCGUCCGCGCGUCAUCCGUCGGUCUCCGUUCACAACGAGGCAAUGAUCGAAGGGAGCGAUCGGGGCCACUCGUAUUGCGACGUUAGAGGUG
Molecule: long non-coding RNA, 162 nt
Organism: Octopus sinensis (East Asian common octopus)
Lineage: Eukaryota; Metazoa; Mollusca; Cephalopoda; Octopoda; Octopodidae
Exons: 3
Source: RefSeq, a predicted model, not a curated record